RNAcentral lists this ribosomal RNA (251 nucleotides) under uncultured bacterium. Its description in RNAcentral is "partial 16S ribosomal RNA". It matches the Rfam family "Bacterial small subunit ribosomal RNA", at positions 524 to 772 of the family's 1533-position model. The record is from RNAcentral.
UACGGAGGGUGCAAGCGUUUAUCCGGAUUCACUGGGUUUAAAGGGUGUGUAGGCGGGCUGUUAAGUCAGUGGUGAAAUCUCCAGGCUCAACCUGGAAACUGCCAUUGAUACUAUCAGUCUUGAAUAUCGUUGAGGUGGGCAGAAUAUGUCAUGUAGCGGUGAAAUGCAUAGAUAUGACAUAGAAUACCGAUUGCGAAGGCAGCUCACUAAGCGUGUAUUGACGCUGAGGCACGAAAAGCGUGGGGGAUCAA